UGAUCAUUUUUUUUUUUUAAUUACGACGGCCAGUAGCAACAGUUUGCAUUCAGUUUAUUAUAUUUUGUUUUGGCAACGUUGCUGGAGAACUUCGACAACGUAUUUUGCUGGAGAAAAAGGACUUCACGGAUCAGAAAGGCAAUUUAUCUCGAUAGGGGCUUACAUUUGUUUUAGCUGCAGCCCGUGAAAGCAUCGCGAAUGGUGUCACCUGUUUGCCCCAGUCCAGUGAAGAACACCAUAGUUAGACAGACGACUUCAGGACAAUAUCCAAAAUAAAUCAAGUCAUCGGAUACCUUACCUUGAGACUCUCUUGAAGCAUCACGAAUGAAAGACCAGGUGUUUCUUUCUGGAUCACCGCCUUUGUAGCCUCAGGUGUCACAUCCCUUGGAGUACAGCC
Non-coding RNA from Musa acuminata subsp. malaccensis (wild Malaysian banana), 397 nucleotides. NCBI's taxonomy places the organism in Eukaryota, Viridiplantae, Streptophyta, Magnoliopsida, Zingiberales, Musaceae. The record is from RefSeq and is a predicted model, not a curated record.